CCUACGGGGCGCAUCAGUGAGGAAUAUUGGUCAAUGGGAGAGAUCCUGAACCAGCCAAGCCGCGUGAGGGAAGACGGCCCUAUGGGUUGUAAACCUCUUUUGUCGGAGAACAAAACCCGGGACGUGUCCCGGACUGCGUGUAUCCGAAGAAAAAGCAUCGGCUAACUCCGUGCCAGCAGCCGCGGUAAUACGGAGGACGCGAGCGUUAUCCGGAUUUAUUGGGUUUAAAGGGUGCGUAGGUGGAGGUGCAAGUCAGCGGUCAAAUUGCGGGGCUCAACCCCGUACUGCCGUUGAAACUGCAUCCC
RNAcentral lists this ribosomal RNA (305 nucleotides) under uncultured bacterium. Its description in RNAcentral is "bacterial SSU rRNA". It matches the Rfam family "Bacterial small subunit ribosomal RNA", at positions 338 to 641 of the family's 1533-position model. The record is from RNAcentral.